RNAcentral lists this ribosomal RNA (2775 nucleotides) under Triticum aestivum (bread wheat). RNAcentral describes it as "partial small subunit ribosomal RNA". The record is from RNAcentral. Lineage: Eukaryota; Viridiplantae; Streptophyta; Magnoliopsida; Poales; Poaceae.
AUGGAGGCCGCUGCUGGGGCGUUGAGCCCUGUCCUCCGUAAGCUCGGUGAGCUGCUCGCCGGAGAAUACAACCUGGAGAAGCGAGUAAAGAAAGGUGUACAAUCACUUCGUACAGAACUGGAGAUGAUACACGCCGUACUUCGUGAGGUUGGCAAGGUGCCACUGGAUCAGCUCCAGGAGCCGGUCCGGAUUUGGGCUGGCAAGGUGAGAGACCUCUCUUGCGACAUGGAAGACGCUGUUGAUGACUUUCUGGUGCGUGUGGAUGAGGGUCCAAGCAGCAAGCCAACGAACAUGAGGAAUCGUGUCAAGAAGUUCCUCAAGAAGACCACCAAAUUGUUUGGUAAUGGCAAAGCACUUCAUCAAAUCUCUAGUGCCAUCAAAGAAGCUGAGGACCUUGCCACGGAGUUGGUGGGGCUGCGUAAAAAGUAUGAGCUUGACAUGCGUAGCACUAGCAAUGGUGCUACCAUUGACCCUCGUGUGUUAGCUCUGCACAAAGAUGUAGGGGAGCUUGUUGGCGUUGACUGCACAAGGGAUGAGCUUAUCAAAACACUGAUUUGUGAGGACGGGAGUUCCAAGGAGCAAUUGAAGACCAUCUCUAUUGUUGGUGUUGGUGGGCUAGGCAAGACAACACUCACCAAAGCAGUCUAUGAGAAGAUCAAAGCCCAAUUUGAUCGUGUGGCUUUUGUCCCAGUGGGUCAGAACCCAGAUAUCAAAAAAGUUUUCAAGGACUUACUCUAUGAACUUGACAAUGAAAAGUUCAGUGACAUUCAUAAUACAACACGGGAUGAAAAUCUACUCAUCAAGCAAAUCAGUGAUUACCUUGUGGAUAAGAGGUACCUCAUCGUAAUCGAUGAUAUAUGGGAAGAAGAAAUAUGGAGAUUUAUAAAUUGUGCUUUGUAUAAAAACAACCUCCGUAGUCGGGUAAUCACAACAACCCGCAAUGUGAGCGUGUCUGAAGCAUGUCUCUCUUCUAGUGAUGACAUGAUUCACAAAAUGAAACCUCUUUCUGAUGAAGACUCGCAGAUACUCUUCCAUAGAAGAAUAUUUCAAAGCGAAGUGAAAUGUCCAGAAGAUUUGCAAGCAGUAUCAAGAGAGAUAUUGAAGAAAUGUGGUGGUGUACCAUUAGCCAUCAUUACAAUAUCUAGCCUUCUAGUCAGUAACCAAAGGAUAAAGCAGAAAGAAGAAUGGAUGCAUGUGCACAGUUCGAUGGGCCGUGGAGUUACAGAAGGUGGUAUUGUGAAGGACAUGAAGAGGAUAUUAUCACUCAGCUAUUUUGAUUUGCCUUCGCAUCUAAAGACUUGUUUGUUAUACCUAAGCAUCUUUCCUGAAGACUUUGAGAUUAAGAGAGAUUGGCUGAUAUGGAAGUGGCUUGCUGAAGGGUUUAUCCAAUGUGACAAAGAAGAAACCAGGCUGUUUGAGAUCGGAGAGAGCUACUUCAACGAGCUUAUGAACAGGAGCUUGAUCCAGCCAGCACAAAUCAAUUUGGACGGAACCGUAGUAACCUGUCGAAUACAUGAUAUGGUGCUUGAUCUUAUAUGCUCACUGUCAAAUGAGGAGAAUUUUGUCUCCAUAUUGGAUAAUGUUCAGUGGCAUGCACCUAAUCUGCAAAGGAAAUUCCGCAGGCUAUCACUUCAUAAUAUCAAGGCAACAGUUCAGAACCACCAGUUUGGUAGCACUAGCCUGUCAAAAGUGAGGACCUUUGCUGUUUUUUCUCUUGUUACUUGUGAUUGGUUGCCAUCUCUCUCAAGCUUUCAAUUUUUGCGUGUGCUUGAUCUUGGAAAUUGUGGCAGCAAUGAAAGUAGCUCUGGUAUCAGCCUCAAGUAUGUAGGGAAUUUAAUUCACCUAAGGUACCUAGGGCUCAUGUAUGCAGAUGUUUGCGAACUCCCAAUGGACAUAGGCAAGUUGCAGCUUUUACAGACACUGGAUGUAAGAGGCACUAGUAUAAAAGAAUUACCUGCAAGUGUUGUACAGCUCAGAAAUUUGAUAUGCCUAUAUGUCAAUUAUAGGGUGAGGCUGCCAAAAGGAAUGGGGAGCUUGAUGUCCCUUGAAGUGCUGGAACGAGUAGGCUUAUCCUCGUCUCCUCACAUUGCGGAAGAGCUGAGCCAUCUGACAGAGGUUAGGACACUCGGUGUUGACUGUUAUAACAUGGACGAGGAUCUGAUUGAUAUAUUAAUCAAGUCUCUAGGCAACCUGCACAAAUUGCAAAAUCUGCGUAUUCAUAGUGGUGGCGGAUUGAUGGAUCGCAUAUGUGAAAGCUGGGUGCCCCCUCCAAACCUCCGUAGUAGCAUCUUUUCUUCUUCGUGGUUCUCGCGACUUCCAAAGUGGGUUAAUUCAAGUUCGCUUCCCCACCUCUCCACCCUGGAAAUAGAAGUGGAAGAACUGCAAGGGGAUGACAUUCAGAUCAUUGGGAUGCUGCCUGCUCUUCUGUUUCUGCGGCUGCGUGCAAGUCGCGUGAUGGGAAGGUUGGCUGUGAGGGCCGAUGCAUUCCCAUCUGCGAGAUGCUGCAAGUUCUUGGGGUUUCUGACUUCGCCGUGCCUUUUUCCACCUGGAGCUAUGCCAAGGGUUCAGCGGUUUGAGUUCUGCGUCUCCGCACUGUCGAUCGCGAGUGGUGAGGUUGACUGCGGCAUGGGCCACCUCCCUUCUCUCGAGCAUGUUGAGGUUUGGCUGGAGCGUGAGAAUUCCAGCGAUGAAGAGAUGGAGACAGCCAAGGCUUGGCUGACGCGCGCAGCACAAGCCCAUCCAAAACUUCCCACCAUUGACAUCCUUGACUGUUGA